This 275-nucleotide ribosomal RNA is filed under the name uncultured bacterium. RNAcentral describes it as "partial 16S ribosomal RNA". It matches the Rfam family "Bacterial small subunit ribosomal RNA", at positions 338 to 629 of the family's 1533-position model. The record is from RNAcentral.
CCUACGGGGGGCUGCAGUGAGGAAUAUUGCUCAAUGGGCGAAAGCCUGAAGCAGCGACGCCGCGUGGGUGAAGAAGGUCUUCGGAUCGUAAAGCCCUUUUCUGUGUGACGAGGAAGGACGGUAGCACAGGAAUAAGUGUCGGCUAACUACGUGCCAGCAGCCGCGGUAAAACGUAGGACGCAAGCGUUAUCCGGAAUUACUGGGCGUAAAGCGCGUGUAGGUGGUUGCGUAAGUCACUUGUGAAAGCCCAUGGCUAAACUGUGGGAGGUCAGGUG